AGCAGUAGGGAAUCUUCGGCAAUGGACGAAAGUCUGACCGAGCAACGCCGCGUGAGUGAAGAAGGUUUUCGGAUCGUAAAACUCUGUUGGUAGAGAAGAACGUUGGUGAGAGUGGAAAGCUCAUCAAGUGACGGUAACUACCCAGAAAGGGGCGGCUAACUACGUGCCAG
RNAcentral lists this ribosomal RNA (170 nucleotides) under uncultured bacterium. RNAcentral's name for it is "partial 16S rRNA". It matches the Rfam family "Bacterial small subunit ribosomal RNA", at positions 350 to 511 of the family's 1533-position model. The record is from RNAcentral.